UGCAGUCGAGCGAACAGAUAAGGAGCUUGCUCCUUUGACGUUAGCGGCGGACGGGUGAGUAACACGUGGGUAACCUACCUAUAAGACUGGGAUAACUUCGGGAAACCGGAGCUAAUACCGGAUAACAUUUGGAACCGCAUGGUUCUAAAGUGAAAGAUGGUUUUGCUAUCACUUAUAGAUGGACCCGCGCCGUAUUAGCUAGUUGGUAAGGUAACGGCUUACCAAGGCGACGAUACGUAGCCGACCUGAGAGGGUGAUCGGCCACACUGGAACUGAGACACGGUCCAGACUCCUACGGGAGGCAGCAGUAGGGAAUCUUCCGCAAUGGGCGAAAGCCUGACGGAGCAACGCCGCGUGAGUGAUGAAGGGUUUCGGCUCGUAAAACUCUGUUAUUAGGGAAGAACAAAUGUGUAAGUAACUGUGCACGUCUUGACGGUACCUAAUCAGAAAGCCACGGCUAACUACGUGCCAGCAGCCGCGGUAAUACGUAGGUGGCAAGCGUUAUCCGGAAUUAUUGGGCGUAAAGCGCGCGUAGGCGGUUUCUUAAGUCUGAUGUGAAAGCCCACGGCUCAACCGUGGAGGGUCAUUGGAAACUGGGAAACUUGAGUGCAGAAGAGGAAAGUGGAAUUCCAUGUGUAGCGGUGAAAUGCGCAGAGAUAUGGAGGAACACCAGUGGCGAAGGCGACUUUCUGGUCUGUAACUGACGCUGAUGUGCGAAAGCGUGGGGAUCAAACAGGAUUAGAUACCCUGGUAGUCCACGCCGUAAACGAUGAGUGCUAAGUGUUAGGGGGUUUCCGCCCCUUAGUGCUGCAGCUAACGCAUUAAGCACUCCGCCUGGGGAGUACGACCGCAAGGUUGAAACUCAAAGGAAUUGACGGGGACCCGCACAAGCGGUGGAGCAUGUGGUUUAAUUCGAAGCAACGCGAAGAACCUUACCAAAUCUUGACAUCCUUUGAAAACUCUAGAGAUAGAGCCUUCCCCUUCGGGGGACAAAGUGACAGGUGGUGCAUGGUUGUCGUCAGCUCGUGUCGUGAGAUGUUGGGUUAAGUCCCGCAACGAGCGCAACCCUUAAGCUUAGUUGCCAUCAUUAAGUUGGGCACUCUAGGUUGACUGCCGGUGACAAACCGGAGGAAGGUGGGGAUGACGUCAAAUCAUCAUGCCCCUUAUGAUUUGGGCUACACACGUGCUACAAUGGACAAUACAAAGGGCAGCUAAACCGCGAGGUCAUGCAAAUCCCAUAAAGUUGUUCUCAGUUCGGAUUGUAGUCUGCAACUCGACUACAUGAAGCUGGAAUCGCUAGUAAUCGUAGAUCAGCAUGCUACGGUGAAUACGUUCCCGGGUCUUGUACACACCGCCCGUCACACCACGAGAGUUUGUAACACCCGAAGCCGGUGGAGUAACCAUUUAUGGAGCUAGCCGUCGAAGGUGGGACAAAUGA
Molecule: ribosomal RNA, 1438 nt
Filed under: Staphylococcus saprophyticus
Lineage: Bacteria; Bacillati; Bacillota; Bacilli; Caryophanales; Staphylococcaceae
Description: bacterial SSU rRNA
Rfam family: Bacterial small subunit ribosomal RNA
Source: RNAcentral